CCUGCACCUGCCGGCGACCGGCGCACGGGUGAGUAACACGUAUGGAACCUGCCCGCCACAGGGGGAUAACCCGGGGAAACCCGGCCUAAUACCCCAUGCCGCCCGGACCGGGCAUCCGGUCCGGGCGAAAGGAGGAAUCCGGUGGCGGCUGGGCAUGCGGCGCAUUAGCUUGACGGCGGGGUAACGGCUCACCGUGGCGACGAUGCGUAGGGGUUCUGAGAGGAAGGCCCCCCACACUGGUACUGAGACACGGACCAGACUCCUACGGAAGGCAGCAG
RNAcentral lists this ribosomal RNA (278 nucleotides) under uncultured bacterium. RNAcentral's name for it is "partial 16S ribosomal RNA". It matches the Rfam family "Bacterial small subunit ribosomal RNA", at positions 74 to 354 of the family's 1533-position model. The record is from RNAcentral.